RNAcentral lists this ribosomal RNA (466 nucleotides) under uncultured bacterium. RNAcentral's name for it is "partial 16S ribosomal RNA". It matches the Rfam family "Bacterial small subunit ribosomal RNA", at positions 28 to 507 of the family's 1533-position model. The record is from RNAcentral.
GAUGAACGCUGGCGGCGUGCUUAACACAUGCAAGUCGAACGGAAAGGCCCAAGCUUGCUUGGGUACUCGAGUGGCGAACGGGUGAGUAACACGUGGGUGAUCUGCCCUGCACUUCGGGAUAAGCCUGGGAAACUGGGUCUAAUACCGGAUAGGACCACAUUUUGGAUGGUGUGGUGGAAAGUUUUUCGGUGUGGGAUGAGCUCGCGGCCUAUCAGCUUGUUGGUGGGGUAAUGGCCUACCAAGGCGUCGACGGGUAGCCGGCCUGAGAGGGUGUACGGCCACAUUGGGACUGAGAUACGGCCCAGACUCCUACGGGAGGCAGCAGUGGGGAAUAUUGCACAAUGGGCGCAAGCCUGAUGCAGCGACGCCGCGUGGGGGAUGACGGCCUUCGGGUUGUAAACUCCUUUCGCUAGGGACGAAGCGUUAUGUGUCGGUACCUGGAGAAGAAGCACCGGCUAACUACGUG